Molecule: long non-coding RNA, 1173 nt
Organism: Brassica napus (rape)
Lineage: Eukaryota; Viridiplantae; Streptophyta; Magnoliopsida; Brassicales; Brassicaceae
Exons: 2
Source: RefSeq, a predicted model, not a curated record
GGAAACCCUAAUGGUCCAAAGAUUAGAAGUGAGAAGGUUACUUGGGGUUGAAGACAGAAAAAGAAAAUGAGGUCUAGCCAUAAGUCAACUUCUGACACAAACAUAUCUCCCAACAAACCUUGCUACCUUCCUAAGCAAUCAUUUCCUCUUUUAAAACGUUGUCUAAAAAUGUUAUUAAUUAUAUCACAACUUCUGCAAUGCUUUUUCACGUCCUUAAAUCAGAUCAUAUAUCUUUGCAUCUGCUUCACAGAGCCUACGUGUGGAGAAGGUUGGUCUCGACAUUAGUCAAUAUGGAUUUUGUUUCCGGGCGGAUUUUAUAUAUGCAGCACUAGAGCGUUAUAUUGCAACAUGCCACACUCAAAAGAAGUUACCGAAGCACACCGUCUUCUCUUAAGAUAUAUACCUUCUACAGAGGUUAAAAGCUAAUUAGUACUAAGACCUAUGGAUUUGGUGAAGCUGCUUCAAGCCAUUUCCUCUUCCACCUACGCCAUGCACCUGAAAAUCAAACAAAAAGUCAAGAUUUGCACCUACACGGUCCUAGUCAGAGCUCUCAUAUAUUGUGAACUAUAAACUACCUUAUGAUGUUGACUCAAGUUCAACUUGCUAAGACUUCCAAUAAUGAAAAUCUCACUUCAAGAAAAAGAAAGAAGAAUAACAACUUGAGGGAAACACUCAAGACCAUUAGAUUCAUAACACUUACCUUUUAUAAAGUUUUGGGCUUUGAAGUUCCCCAGCUUUGCUCAUAACUUCAGCUUGAAUCCCUUGGACAGAAAACCAUCGCCCCUGAGACUGAAACAUAAUAUGUUUAAGCAGGUUGAUUGAUACUUUUUACCAUAUGCAAGCCUCAAAAUCUCAAAGAAUGAAGAUACCCAAGACUCAGAUUCGCAUAACUGUCUUGUACAUAUCAAAAAAUAUAACCAGGGAAUCAAAACGAGUAAGAAAGCACAUUAUAAAGAUGAGCAUACCCACCUUUUGUUACCCAUCUUUUUCUCUUGAGCUCUGCGAGGAUCACCUUUACAUCCCAAAACAAGGCUACUCACAACAAUUUCCACGUUACAUGGAAGACCCUCACAGCCCUUUAUUUCAAGCGUCUCAAAACUCUUACUCUCCAAAUCAAACCAAAAGAGCUUCCCAUUGUUUAUCUCCAGCAAAAUCUUCCUCCUGUCCUUAGAG